GCCCACUUAGCUCAGCUGGUAGAGCAACUCCAUGGUAAGGAGUAGGUCCGCGGUUCAAGUCCGCGAGUGGGCUCCA
Molecule: transfer RNA, 76 nt
Filed under: Patescibacteria group bacterium
Lineage: Bacteria
Also listed under: 1 other name
Description: tRNA-Thr
Rfam family: tRNA
About the family: Transfer RNA (tRNA) molecules are approximately 80 nucleotides in length. Their secondary structure includes four short double-helical elements and three loops (D, anti-codon, and T loops).
Source: RNAcentral